RNAcentral lists this transfer RNA (94 nucleotides) under Neomoorella mulderi. Its description in RNAcentral is "tRNA-Ser". It matches the Rfam family "tRNA". From Rfam's summary of the family: Transfer RNA (tRNA) molecules are approximately 80 nucleotides in length. Their secondary structure includes four short double-helical elements and three loops (D, anti-codon, and T loops). Lineage: Bacteria; Bacillati; Bacillota; Clostridia; Neomoorellales; Neomoorellaceae. The record is from RNAcentral.
GGAGAGAUGGCCGAGAGGUCGAAGGCGGUCGCCUGCUAAGCGACUGUACGGGCUAAAACCCGUACCGUGGGUUCGAAUCCCACUCUCUCCGCCA